This 468-nucleotide ribosomal RNA is filed under the name uncultured bacterium. Its description in RNAcentral is "partial 16S ribosomal RNA". It matches the Rfam family "Bacterial small subunit ribosomal RNA", at positions 28 to 507 of the family's 1533-position model. The record is from RNAcentral.
GACGAACGCUGGCGGCGUGCUUAACACAUGCCAGUCGAACGGAAAGGCCCUGCUUUUGUGGGGUGCUCGAGUGGCGAACGGGUGAGUAACACGUGAGUAGCCUGCCCUUGACUUUGGGAUAACUUCAGGAAACUGGGGCUAAUACCGGAUAGGAGCUCCUGCUGCAUGGUGGGGGUUGGAAAGUUUCGGCGGUUGGGGAUGGACUCGCGGCUUAUCAGCUUGUUGGUGGGGUAGUGGCUUACCAAGGCUUUGACGGGUAGCCGGCCUGAGAGGGUGACCGGCCACAUGGGGACUGAGAUAGGGCCCAGACUCCUACGGGAGGCAGCAGGGGGGAAUAUUGCACAAUGGGCGGAAGCCUGAUGCAGCAACGCCGCGUGCGGGAUGACGGCCUUCGGGGUGUAAACCGCUUUCGCCUGUGACGAAGCGUGAGUGACGGUAAUGGGUAAAGAAGCACCGGCUAACUACGUG